AUUGAACGCUGGCGGAAGGCCUAACACAUGCAAGUCGAGCGAGCGGCGGACGGGUGAGUAAUGUCUGGGAAACUGCCUGAUGGAGGGGGAUAACUAAUGGAAACGGUAGCUAAUACAGCAUACCAUCAGAUGUGCCCAGAUGGGAUUAGCUAGUAGGUGGGGUAAAGGCUAACCUCGGCGACGAUCCCUAGCUGGUCUGAGAGGAUGACCAGCCACACUGGAACGUAGACACGGUCCAGACUCCGACGGGAGGCAGCAGUGGGGAAUAUUGCACAAUGGGCGCAAGCCUGAUGCAGCCAUGCCGCGUGUGUGAAGAAGGCCUUCGGGUUGUAAAGCACUUUCAGCGGGGAGGCGUUACCCGCAGAAGAAGCACCGGCUAACUCCGUGCCAGCAGCCGCGGUAAUUC
This 406-nucleotide ribosomal RNA is filed under the name uncultured bacterium. Its description in RNAcentral is "partial 16S ribosomal RNA". It matches the Rfam family "Bacterial small subunit ribosomal RNA", at positions 30 to 526 of the family's 1533-position model. The record is from RNAcentral.